RNAcentral lists this long non-coding RNA (1423 nucleotides) under Zonotrichia albicollis (white-throated sparrow). RNAcentral's name for it is "lncRNA (ENSZALG00000014949.1)". The stretch from base 1354 to 1423 matches the Rfam family "let-7 microRNA precursor family", at positions 1 to 73 of the family's 84-position model. The record is from RNAcentral. Lineage: Eukaryota; Metazoa; Chordata; Aves; Passeriformes; Passerellidae.
AUGACUUACUGGGGAACCAGGUUAAAAACUAAAGAAGUGAAGAUUGGUCAUCUCUGCAGAGGAAAUUACAAGGUCUUUCUCAGGAGAAACAGCUGUAGAAUGUGGAAUCAGUUGUGUGGAAUUCCUGUUGGCAAGACCUUAGACCCUCGACUUCUGCUAGACCCAGCUGAGGGAUCAAAGAGAGAACUUUUGCAGGUUUCACCUCCCCUGGACUCUGGACUUGCCCCAGUUUCUGGGUUUUGUGAUCUGGGGGUCCUCAUCUCUGCCAUGGAGAGCUCAGGGAGACACUGGGGGCAAGCACAACAGCUCAGCUGGGAAGCCAGGACAUGGGAAGAUUAUGCCAGGAAAACAGGAGAUCCCCACAGCAGUGAUGCUGAAAGCCAGGGCAGAUGGUUUCUGUCCCCCUGCAGUGUGACCAAGUGACCUCAGGGUGAGACAUGCUGAGUGAAACAGCUCUCCUUGAUCCAUGUGGGGCUGAUGGAUGCAGCAUUUAUUGUGCUCUUCAAUUAACUAGCAAAAGGUUACUUCACUGAUUAAGGUAGGCUGUUUGUUUUAAAAGUGUGCUUACAUAUUCAAGUAGUGUUUGUAUUAGAAUACAGACUGAUAUCUGUUAUUCCAACUUCUUUAAAUCCACCCUGAAUAGGAAGUGUUGUUGUCUAUCAAACCAGGUGGCAGGAAAUAACAACCCCCUCAAACUUGAGCAGAAGUUUGAAGCUACAGAAGCUGAUGUUGUAGUGGUAGUUCUGCUAAUCCCCCUAGCCAAGGCCUGUGUGGUACAGUGGAGUGUGUUUAAUUUGCUCAUCAAUUCAGAGCUGGGUUCCUGCUCAGUUAGGAGUAUUGCUGACUAAGCCACAAUUCCUCACAGUCUUAAAUUCAUUGCUCAGUCUUUGGGGUUUACCUAUGCAGAACUUGGGAAAUUCACUUUAGAGAACCUCAGUUCUUCCCCAUUAGGAUAAUGGAGAAGGAUCUGGAAGCAUGUUAAACAAUCCCUUUAUUCAGCAUCCAUUCUGAGUCAUAGUGAUGCCUUUCCCAAAGUGACAAACUGUUUGAUAAGGUACAGUCAUGUAGGAGCAGGCAGUACACAAGUGCAGUUAUUAAAAAUGAAUGCUGUAUCCUGUUUCCCUUGUGUAUCUUGUCACUGACAUGACUUCACAAGUUGCAAAUCUAUUAAACAUUUCAAACAUGGAACUGGAGCUCAUUAAGCAGAAUGUUGACUGGUAUAUAGCAAACCGUUUCACAUUCAAGACUGUUAACAUUUGUCUCCAGAGUUUUUUGUCUUCUAGGUUGUCACUAAGCAAUCCAGCUGUCUGGGAAUGCAGCCUGUGCUUCCUGUGAUCAGAAUGAGACUGUCCUUUGGGGUGAGGUAGUAGGUUGUAUAGUUUUAGGGCUAUGCCCUGCCUGUCAGAUAACUAUACAAUCUACU